Molecule: long non-coding RNA, 235 nt
Filed under: Phoenix dactylifera (date palm)
Lineage: Eukaryota; Viridiplantae; Streptophyta; Magnoliopsida; Arecales; Arecaceae
Description: long non-coding RNA (PDAC_LNC010221)
Source: RNAcentral
AGGGGGGGUGAAUUGGGUCUUUUAAAUCUUUUAUACUACUUCUAAAACUUUUCAAUUAAUUAUGCUAAGUUGUAUAGAUGCACAGUGGAAUUUAAACUUAGCAACAGUUUGAUUUAUUGAAUGAGACUUGAUUAAGUAAAUUGAAUAUGCUUGCAACUAAAGGAUGCGCAGAUAAGAGUUAAGCAAGCAAUUUAUCUAAGUAAGUAAGUGAGCAAGUUAGACAAUGACAAAAAGC